UUCCGGUUGAUCCUGCCGGACCUGACUGCUAUCGGAUUGAUACUAAGCCAUGCUAGUCUUUGUAGUAAUACAAGGCAUACGGCUCAGUAACGCGUAGUCAACCUACCCUAUGGACGGGGAUAAUCUCGGGAAACUGAGCAUAAUACCCGGUAGACCACUUCUCCUGGAAUGGUUAGUGGUUAAAAUGAUUCGUCGCCAUAGGAUGGGACUGCGGCCUAUCAGCUUGUUGGUGAGGUAAUGGCCCACCAAGGCGAUUACAGGUACGGGCUCUGAGAGGAGAAGCCCGGAGAUGGGUACUGAGACAAGGACCCAGGCCCUAUGGGGCGCAGCAGGCGAGAAAACUUUGCAAUGUGCGAAAGCACGACAAGGUUAAUCCGAGUGAUUUCUGCUAAAGGAAUCUUUUGUUAGUUCUAAAAAUACUAGUGAAUAAGGGGUGGGCAAGUUCUGGUGUCAGCCGCCGCGGUAAAACCAGCACCUCAAGUGGUCAGGAGGAUUAUUGGGCCUAAAGCAUCCGUAGCCGGCUCUGUAAGUUUUCGGUUAAAUCCAUGUGCUCAACGCAUGGGCUGCCGAAAAUACUGCAUAGCUAGGGAGUGGGAGAGGUAGACGGUACUCGGUAGGAAGGGGUAAAAUCCUUUGAUCUAUCGAUGACCACCUGUGGCGAAGGCGGUCUACCAGAACACGUUCGACGGUGAGGGAUGAAAGCUGGGGGAGCAAACCGGAUUAGAUACCCGGGUAGUCCCAGCUGUAAACGAUGCAGACUCGAUGAUGCAUUGGCAUAUAGCCAGUGCAGUGUCGCAGGGAAGCCGUUAAGUCUGCCGCCUGGGAAGUACGUACGCAAGUAUGAAACUUAAAGGAAUUGGCGGGGGAGCACCACAAGGGGUGAAGCCUGCGGUUCAAUUGGAUUCAACGCCGG
Molecule: ribosomal RNA, 913 nt
Filed under: uncultured marine archaeon
Lineage: Archaea
Description: bacterial SSU rRNA
Rfam family: Archaeal small subunit ribosomal RNA
Source: RNAcentral